ACUCCUACGGGAGGCAGCAGUGGGGAAUUUUGCGCAAUGGGCGAAAGCCUGACGCAGCAACGCCGCGUGAGUGAUGAAGGCUUUCGGGUCGUAAAGCUCUGUCGAGGGGAAAGAAGUGUAUUGUGGCUAAUAUCCACGAUACUUGACGGUACCCCUAAAGGAAGCACCGGCUAACUCCGUGCCAGCAGCCGCGGUAAUACGGGGGGUGCAAGCGUUGUUCGGAAUUAUUGGGCGUAAAGAGCGUGUAGGCGGUUUGUUUAGUCUGAUGUGAAAGCCCUGGGCUCAACCCAGGAAGUGCAUUGGAUACUGGCAGACUUGAAUACGGGAGAGGGUAGUGGAAUCCCUAGUGUAGGAGUGAAAUCCGUAGAUAUUAGGAGGAACACCGGUGGCGAAGGCGGCUGCCUGGACCGAUAUUGACGCUGAGACGCGAAAGCGUGGGUAGCAAACAGGAUUAGAUACCCUGGUAGUCCACGCCGUAAACGAUGAGAACUAGGUGUCGCGGGUA
Molecule: ribosomal RNA, 505 nt
Filed under: uncultured Geobacter sp.
Lineage: Bacteria; Pseudomonadati; Thermodesulfobacteriota; Desulfuromonadia; Geobacterales; Geobacteraceae
Description: bacterial SSU rRNA
Rfam family: Bacterial small subunit ribosomal RNA
Source: RNAcentral